This 255-nucleotide ribosomal RNA is filed under the name uncultured bacterium. RNAcentral's name for it is "partial 16S ribosomal RNA". It matches the Rfam family "Bacterial small subunit ribosomal RNA", at positions 99 to 354 of the family's 1533-position model. The record is from RNAcentral.
CGGACGGGUGAGUAACGCGUGGAAAACCUGCCGUAUACUGGGGGAUAACACUCAGAAAUAGGUGCUAAUACCGCAUAAGCGCACAGCUUCGCAUGAAGCGGUGUGAAAAACUCUGGUGGUAUACGAUGGUUCCGCGUCUGAUUAGCUAGUUGGUGGGGUAAUGGCCUACCAAGGCAACGAUCAGUAGCCGGCCUGAGAGGGUGAACGGCCACAUUGGGACUGAGACACGGCCCAAACUCCUACGGAAGGCAGCAG